GACGAACGCGGGCGGCGUGCUUAACACAUGCAAGUCGAACGCUGAAGCUCAGCUUUUGUUGGGUGGAUGAGUGGCGAACGGGUGAGUAACACGUGAGUAACCUGCCCCCUUCUUUGGGAUAACGCCCGGAAACGGGUGCUAAUACUGGAUAUUCACUGGUCUUCGCAUGGGGGUUGGUGGAAAGGGUUUUUCUGGUGGGGGAUGGGCUCGCGGCCUAUCAGCUUGUUGGUGGGGUGAUGGCCUACCAAGGCUUUGACGGGUAGCCGGCCUGAGAGGGUGAUCGGCCACACUGGGACUGGGACACGGCCCAGACUCCUACGGGAGGCAGCAGUAGGGAAUCUUCGGCAAUGGGGGGAACCCUGACCGAGCAACGCCGCGUGAGUGAAGAAGGUUUUCGGAUCGUAAAGCUCUGUUGUUAAGGAAGAACGAGUGUGAAAAUGGAAAGUUCAUACUGUGACGGUACUUAACCAGAAAGGGACGGCUAACUACGUGCCAGCAGCCGCGGUAAUACGUAGGUCCCGAGCGUUGUCCGGAUUUAUUGGGCGUAAAGCGAGCGCAGGCGGUUAGAAAAGUCUGAAGUGAAAGGCAGUGGCUCAACCAUUGUAGGCUUUGGAAACUGUUUAACUUGAGUGCAGAAGGGGAGAGUGGAAUUCCAUGUGUAGCGGUGAAAUGCGUAGAUAUAUGGAGGAACACCGGUGGCGAAAGCGGCUCUCUGGUCUGUAACUGACGCUGAGGCUCGAAAGCGUGGGGAGCGAACAGG
Molecule: ribosomal RNA, 760 nt
Filed under: uncultured Actinomyces sp.
Lineage: Bacteria; Bacillati; Actinomycetota; Actinomycetes; Actinomycetales; Actinomycetaceae
Description: bacterial SSU rRNA
Rfam family: Bacterial small subunit ribosomal RNA
Source: RNAcentral